AGUAAACGCUGGCGGUAGGCCUAACACAUGCAAGUCGAACGGCAGCACAGUAAGAGCUUGCUCUUACGGGUGGCGAGUGGCGGACGGGUGAGGAAUACAUCGGAAUCUACUUUUUCGUGGGGGAUAACGUAGGGAAACUUACGCUAAUACCGCAUACGACCUACGGGUGAAAGCAGGGGAUCUUCGGACCUUGCGCGAUUGAAUGAGCCGAUGUCGGAUUAGCUAGUUGGCGGGGUAAAGGCCCACCAAGGCGACGAUCCGUAGCUGGUCUGAGAGGAUGAUCAGCCACACUGGAACUGAGACACGGUCCAGACUCCUACGGGAGGCAGCAGUGGGGAAUAUUGGACAAUGGGCGCAAGCCUGAUCCAGCCAUACCGCGUGGGUGAAGAAGGCCUUCGGGUUGUAAAGCCCUUUUGUUGGGAAAGAAAAGCAGCAGGUUAAUACCCCGCUGUUCUGACGGUACCCAAAGAAUAAGCGCCGGCUAACUUCGUG
Molecule: ribosomal RNA, 492 nt
Filed under: uncultured bacterium
Lineage: Bacteria
Description: partial 16S ribosomal RNA
Rfam family: Bacterial small subunit ribosomal RNA
Source: RNAcentral